UGGGGAAUAUUGCACAAUGGAGGGAACUCUGAUGCAGCGACGCCGCGUGAACGAAUAAGGCUUUCGAUUCGUAAAGUUCUUUUAUAUGGGAAGAUAAUGACGGUACUAUCAGAAAAAGCCCAGGCUAACUACGUGCCAGCAGCCGCGGCAAUACGCAGGGGGCUAGCGUUGUCCGGAAUCAUUGGGCGUAAAGGGUUCGUAGGCGGAAAGGCAAGUCAGGUGUAAAAGGCAGUAGCUUAACUACUGUAAGCAUUUGAAACUGCAUAUCUUGCGAAUAACAGAAGUAAGUGGAAUUUUUUAUGUAGCCGAGAGAUUCGUAGAUAUUAAAAAGAAUACCGGAAGCGAAUGCAACUUGCUGGUCUCAUUCUAACGCUGAAAAACGAAAGCGUGAGUAGCAAGCAGU
This 403-nucleotide ribosomal RNA is filed under the name Fusobacteriota bacterium. Its description in RNAcentral is "Fusobacteria bacterium partial 16S ribosomal RNA". It matches the Rfam family "Bacterial small subunit ribosomal RNA", at positions 355 to 776 of the family's 1533-position model. Lineage: Bacteria; Fusobacteriati; Fusobacteriota. The record is from RNAcentral.